AACGAACGCUGGCGGCAGGCCUAACACAUGCAAGUCGAGCGAGAUCUUCGGGUCUAGCGGCGGACGGGUGAGUAACGCGUGGGAAUAUGCCUCUUGGUACGGAAUAGCCUCGGGAAACUGGGAGUAAUACCGUAUGUGCCCGUUGGGGGAAAGAUUUAUCGCCAAGAGAUUAGCACGCGUUGGAUUAGGUAGUUGGUGGGGUAAUGGCCUACCAAGCCGACGAUCCAUAGCUGGUUUGAGAGGAUGAUCAGCCACACUGGGACUGAGACACGGCCCAGACUCCUACGGGAGGCAGCAGUGGGGAAUGUUAGACAAUGGGGGCAACCCUGAUCGAGCCAUGCCGCGUGAGUGAUGAAGGCCUUAGGGUUGUAAAGCUCUUUCAGCUGGGAAGAUAAUGACGGUACCAGCAGAAGAAGCCCCGGCUAACUCCGUG
Molecule: ribosomal RNA, 433 nt
Filed under: uncultured bacterium
Lineage: Bacteria
Description: partial 16S ribosomal RNA
Rfam family: Bacterial small subunit ribosomal RNA
Source: RNAcentral